RNAcentral lists this ribosomal RNA (500 nucleotides) under uncultured bacterium. Its description in RNAcentral is "partial 16S ribosomal RNA". It matches the Rfam family "Bacterial small subunit ribosomal RNA", at positions 30 to 523 of the family's 1533-position model. The record is from RNAcentral.
AUUGAACGCUGGCGGCAUGCCUUACACAUGCAAGUCGAACGGCAGCGCGGGAGCAAUCCUGGUGGCGAGUGGCGAACGGGUGAGUAAAGUAUCGGAACGUGCCCAGUCGUGGGGGAUAACGUAGCGAAAGUUACGCUAAUACCGCAUACGAUCUAUGGAUGAAAGCGGGGGAUCGCAAGACCUCGCGCGAUUGGAGCGGCCGAUAUCAGAUUAGGUAGUUGGUGGGGUAAAGGCUCACCAAGCCGACGAUCUGUAGCUGGUCUGAGAGAACGACCAGACACACUGGGACUGAGACACGGCCCAGACUCCUACGGGAGGCAGCAGUGGGGAAUUUUGGACAAUGGGCGAAAGCCUGAUCCAGCCAUGCCGCGUGCAGGAUGAAGGCCUUCGGGUUGUAAACUGCUUUUGUACGGAACGAAAAGGUUUGGCCUAAUAAGCUGAGCUCAUGACGGUACCGUAAGAAUAAGCACCGGCUAACUACGUGCCAGCCGCCGCAGUAA